CUGACAUGUGUGCAAGUCAUCGAGUGUGGAAAUUCGUUGGACGUAAGGAAGUUAAUUGAUGGAAUCCUUAUUAUUGUUUGGUGCACCGUCGACCGACCUGGAUCUUUUGUGAAAGGUUCGAGUGUGAGCAUACCUGUCGG
This 140-nucleotide non-coding RNA is filed under the name Zostera marina. Its description in RNAcentral is "Eukaryotic large subunit ribosomal RNA". It matches the Rfam family "Eukaryotic large subunit ribosomal RNA", at positions 675 to 812 of the family's 3401-position model. Lineage: Eukaryota; Viridiplantae; Streptophyta; Magnoliopsida; Alismatales; Zosteraceae. The record is from Rfam by way of RNAcentral.